Ruditapes philippinarum (Manila clam) is the source of this 1167-nucleotide long non-coding RNA. RefSeq lists it as uncharacterized. NCBI's taxonomy places the organism in Eukaryota, Metazoa, Mollusca, Bivalvia, Venerida, Veneridae. The transcript has 4 exons. The record is from RefSeq and is a predicted model, not a curated record.
UGAUAGGUUGUUUUGAUUUAUUAUAACUUUUUUGUCUAAACAGAUAUCUGACUCAAUCUUGCAUCGUUUGUUAGAAAUAUAGCUUAAUUUUGAUAUAUCAAGUUUUGAAUAUUUUUUGCCGAUGGGCCAAAAUCAACCCAAAACAUACCUAGCCCUUUCUGCCCAACAAAACAAAAUUGGGGUAAAAUACUCUCAAAAACUUAUCUGUAGCUGUGCAUCAGAUGACAAACUGGUAUGUUGAAUAAUUCAAAUUAUGUAAAUGUGUUUAAAUUGUGAUAACUUUGCAGCAAUUUAAGUGUGGCCGUUAAACGUUAUCUUUAAUAAUUCAAUGCUUAAAAUGAUCUUCAACAAUGUUUUUGUUUCAAUUUUAAGAAAUUUUCUAAAACUUUGUUAUUAAAUUGAUGUAUUUAGUUGGACAUUCAAUAAAGAAAGCAUCAGAUUAUUUAUCCAGUUGCCCUCACAGAGUUCAAUCCUCGGGCAAAGUGGUUGCUACAAUACCUAUUAAACAAUUCAUGGUACAAAAUUUGGCCAAUAUAUUAAUAAUAUAGUCAUUUUUCUUUUGUGGUAUUUAUUUAAAACAUUUCAUUCUGUAUUUACCCAUUUCUUUAUUAAGUAUUAUUACAGUUUCAGAUGGCAUUUUUCAGACAGAAGUUUGUGUUGUAAUGAUGGUGAUCUCUUCUAUCAGUAACAGAAUGAGAAGUGACCAGCGAUCAGGUUCGAGUGUUCCAGCAAUCUGUGUUCUAGUGAUCCGAGGUACAACAAUAUAUAAUACAUAGAAAGUUGGCAAAGACUGGGCAAUGAGGUCAAGCCAAGGGAGGUAUUCAAGCUAUCCAAGGACAAGCUGACAAAGUUCAACUGUAAAUAUGUAAUUUAGUUAUUUCAUGAAGGAAAGCUGACUGGUACCAAAAUUGCCCAUUUGAAAGCAAAGUACACAGAGUUUUUACAUGAAAUACUUAAAAAUACCCGGGAGAAUGAGACUUGUUUAUUGUCUCAGACAAAAGAAUGCUCUGCUGAACUUGAUCGUCAAUGUAUAGAGUUAGAGCAAGCUGAUAAUUUUACCAAUGGUUCAAACACAGAGGUUUCAAAGAUGAGACAACAACUGUUAAAGUAUAACAAUGACUUGAAACAAGCACAUGAAAGGCAGUACGAGCUAGAAUAUCAAAUAGA